Molecule: ribosomal RNA, 484 nt
Filed under: uncultured bacterium
Lineage: Bacteria
Description: partial 16S ribosomal RNA
Rfam family: Bacterial small subunit ribosomal RNA
Source: RNAcentral
AUUGAACGCUGGCGGCAUGCUUUACACAUGCAAGUCGAACGGCAGCGCGGGCUUCGGCCUGGCGGCGAGUGGCGAACGGGUGAGUAAUGCAUCGGAACGUGCCCAGUAGUGGGGGAUAGCCCGGCGAAAGCCGGAUUAAUACCGCAUACGACCUGAGGGUGAAAGCGGGGGACCGAAAGGCCUCGCGCUAUUGGAGCGGCCGAUGUCGGAUUAGCUAGUUGGUGGGGUAAAGGCUUACCAAGGCGACGAUCCGUAGCUGGUCUGAGAGGACGACCAGCCAAACUGGGAAUGAGAAACGGCCCAGACCCCCAAGGGAGGCAGCAGUGGGGAAUUUUGGAAAAUGGGGGCAACCCUGAUCCAGCCAUGCCGCGUGCGGGAAGAAGGCCUUCGGGUUGUAAACCGCUUUUGUUCGGGAAGAAAUCCUCUGGGCUAAUACCCCGGGGGGAUGACGGUACCGGAAGAAUAAGCACCGGCUAACUACGUG